RNAcentral lists this long non-coding RNA (310 nucleotides) under Daucus carota (carrot). Its description in RNAcentral is "long non-coding RNA (DCAR_LNC000046)". Lineage: Eukaryota; Viridiplantae; Streptophyta; Magnoliopsida; Apiales; Apiaceae. The record is from RNAcentral.
GUUACUUGAACAUCAUCUAUUUUAAGUCUUUUGAGCCCUGAUCUUACAUAGGAAUAAGAAUAAGACAAUAUGGUUACUAGCAAAUUAGCGGGCCUUAGAUAAUUGUUUUUCAUCAUUUUGGAGCAUCAUCUUCAUUGUUUACUGCAAAUCAUCUUCCUUGUUUACUGCAAGAAGAAUGUGAAAAUCAGUGACUUUCAUACUAGAAAAUUUAAUAAAUUUCAAGUACAUUAACUUAACUAUAAGCAUACCAGCAUACCUUCACCAUUUAUGAGCCAUCCGUCUCCCGGAUAUUAUUAAACAAAACAAUCUU